AAUAGAAAUUAUGCUCUUUUUUUCUUCUUCAUUUAACGUCAAAAAUAAAAAUACAAUUUGAUGGCUACUAUUAAUAUUUUGAUCCAACAUUUCGAGAAAUAGAGCGAAGAGAAUUGUUGUGUAGAAUAUAGCAUUGACGGGAUAAUUGAAGGAAUAUGCUUCUUAUUCUGAUUUAGUUGGUUUUAUUUCGAUACGAUUGAACAUCAAUCUUACAAAAAAAGUGUGUGAAAAUUAAAUUUCAUUGUCGAAGGUAACGACACGCCUAUGAAAAUACGUAACGCGGGUAUGCGUAUAUAUGUUUAGUUGAAAAAUAUCAACACUCAAUUUGGAGUAUAUCUCUUGUAUGUAACUGUUUUUUAUAUUGAUAUAGAAUAUUUUGAUUCUGAAGAUACUUUCAUUGAAGGUGAAGUGUUGCAACAUGAAUACAAUAAAGAAUUAAUUGGUAUGAAUGAUACAUUGUCAAUUGUUUCAACUUGUAGCGAUCAACCAAUAGAUGUAUUUGAUGGUGGAAAUGAUUAAUUACGAACCGACCGCAACAUGAGAUAAUGGUGGAUCAAAUAUACAUGAAUAAGUCGACAUUGAAGGAUGUGAUAGAAAAAUACUCAAUAGAAAAAAUGAUUAAAUUCUUGGUUGAGAGGUCAAACUCUAUUAGGAUUGGGUGCAUUCUGAUUGUCGGGCAACAAGUGGAUUGAUUGGAGGAAUAAUCGCACCUAAACGGAGGAAUCACAAGAGUAAGUACAUUCCAAAUAAUAUCAUGAUGACAUUAUGUUGGACUUGGGUAUUGAUAUUAACUAUAUGUUGGCAUAUCGAGCAAAAGAGAAAGGCAUUGUAAUCAAUAAUGGGGCAACCAACUUCGUCUUAUGGAAGCUACCUUGGAUAAGACGUAUUCUGGUUCACAUAUUCGAAUGAAGAAGCCAAACUUGCAUGGAAAGAGAUGUUUCAGGCCGAAGAUCAUUGGAAAAAGGAGCUAAAUUUGGGCACCAGAUUAAAGGUCGGAAAGCAGAAGAAGAAUUGGCGAAAAUGAAGAACCAAGAAGUUGAAAAGUGCACUAGCAAGAAGCACUUCCGCGUCGCAGACGCACUCCCCCCAAGCAGUGAAGGAGCUCCCCAUAACAGGGGAGUACGCGAUAUGGGUGUGUCGCGGAGGCAGAUCAACGAUGCAAAAUAGAAACUCCCCCAUAACAGGGGAUUCAGUGAUAGAGUGUGUCGCGGGGGUCGUUACACUAAUGAGCAGAAUCGAGCGAGGGAACACGUCUGCGGUUGCGGACCUGGACAUGAAAAUCGUCCCACAUGUUUAUUUUUGACUAUAAAUAGUUUAAGUAUCUCGUAUUACACACUAUACUUUCUUUUAAAAAAAGGAAGCUGAGGCAAAAAACGAUUUUUGUACUAAAUUUUAGGGUUUUUCUUCUCCUACUUCAUCUUGAUAAAGACUUGUAUGAUUCUAAUACAUUCCAUCUUGUUAUUUUGUAUUAUGAGUAGCUAAAAUCCCUUGUUCUAAAAUUGUAGCUAUGA
Long non-coding RNA from Solanum pennellii, 1511 nucleotides. RefSeq lists it as uncharacterized. The record is from RefSeq and is a predicted model, not a curated record. Lineage: Eukaryota; Viridiplantae; Streptophyta; Magnoliopsida; Solanales; Solanaceae. The transcript has 3 exons.